RNAcentral lists this ribosomal RNA (446 nucleotides) under uncultured bacterium. RNAcentral's name for it is "partial 16S ribosomal RNA". It matches the Rfam family "Bacterial small subunit ribosomal RNA", at positions 338 to 795 of the family's 1533-position model. The record is from RNAcentral.
CCUACGGGAGGCAGCAGUCGAGAAUCAUUCACAAUGGGGGAAACCCUGAUGGUGCGACGCCGCGUGGGGGAAUGAAGGUCUUCGGAUUGUAAACCCCUGUCAUGUGGGAGCAAAUUAAAAAGAUAGUACCACAAGAGGAAGAGACGGCUAACUCUGUGACAGCAGCCGCGGUAAUACAGAGGUCUCAAGCGUUGUUCGGAAUCACUGGGCGUAAAGCGUGCGUAGGCUGUUUCGUAAGUCGUGUGUGAAAGGCGCGGGCUCAACCCGCGGACGGCACAUGAUACUGCGAGACUAGAGUAAGGGAGGGGGAACCGGAAUUCUCGGUGUAGCAGUGAAAUGCGUAGAUAUCGAGAGGAACACUCGUGGCGAAGGCGGGUUCCUGGACAUUAACUGACGCUGAGGCACGAAGGCCAGGGGAGCGAAAGGGAUUAGAUACCCCUGUAGUC